CGCGGGCAUUCUUCGCUUCGGAAGGCCGAAUGUUUCAAAGUUGCUGCUGUGCCGUUCGCUGACGGCUAUUGUGUGCGCUUAAGGCCUUUGGGGGGGGGGGAGAGCGCCAGGAGGGGGCUCUGACCCCCCGUCGGUGUGGAUUUGCUGCCCAAAGACCGUUAGAAAGAGGCAGAAUGAAUGAGGCUGAAUGGAAUUGUAAUGCACAAGGCCCUCCUCCUUUCUCAAGGAGCUGGGAGGCCAGGAAAGCGAGUCGCGGGGAGAGCAGGCGGCUUUCUUGCACAUGGGGAGAGGCUUUGCAAAUCAGCAAAUUGUGUAUUGCUCGGGGAAGAGGGGAGGGAGGCGAGUUAUUUAUUGUUUUUUUUAUUACAGAUCCAAAAAAAAAAAAAAAAAACACAAAAAAAAACACUACCACCACCCUGCAGCAGCCGAGAAGACCAAAAGGAGACAGAGAAAAAGAGGGAGAGGAGACGUGAUAGAAAGAUCUCGUUCCCAAACCUCUUUUUAGGUGCAGAACCCUAUUUAUAGGGUGCGCGCUCCGCUACACCGCCUCGGUCCGCCAGCCCGGAGCAGUACGUUAUCGAUGCAGCUGCAAGUGCUCAAAGCUUAAACAAUAUUUUCCGAAAAGCCCGGCAGCCCGCCCGGGAGGAAGGUGGGGACGGGCUGGCGAUGGAGUCCUGAAUGUUCCUCCUCCAGUUUCAAGGACAUCUUGCUGAUGAGGAUUUGGUUAAUGGAGGAGAACUUAUGUCCUGGCGGUGACGUCAUUGGGUCCCAAUGUAAUCCUCUUGUGCUGAACCCAAUCAGCAGAUGUGCUGAGAGCCGGGAUGCGGAGAAGAAGCUCUAAUCCCUUAGCCUGGAUGAGAUCAGCUGAAACAGCCAGGACUAGACCCCAAACCCCUCUGCUAGGAAGAUCAAGAGAAAAGGGAUAAAUUGAGCGAGACGCCUCCUAACCCCUUUAAAGAGCUUUGGAGAAGAGAAGAGAAGAGAAAGAUGGGUGGUGCACCAAGUUCAUCUUGCUUUUAAAGCCUAGCGGGAGCCUGGUUUUCACGCCGAUGGGGUCCUUCUGCAUUGUUCCAGGGCAGGAGGAGAGAGAGAGGAAAAAAAAAAAAAAAGAGAGAGAAAAGGAAAAAAAAAA
Molecule: long non-coding RNA, 1132 nt
Organism: Oxyura jamaicensis (ruddy duck)
Lineage: Eukaryota; Metazoa; Chordata; Aves; Anseriformes; Anatidae
Exons: 2
Source: RefSeq, a predicted model, not a curated record